Molecule: long non-coding RNA, 589 nt
Filed under: Ananas comosus (pineapple)
Lineage: Eukaryota; Viridiplantae; Streptophyta; Magnoliopsida; Poales; Bromeliaceae
Description: long non-coding RNA (ACOM_LNC030048)
Source: RNAcentral
UUCUAUCAAUAUUUUAAGGUUCACAAAGAUUAAAUGUUUUCGUACAAUACAACAAAAACGGUCUAUAGCGAUAUUUUUAAAUAUUGGUACAGGUAAAAAAAAAUGAUGCUGGCUAAAUUACCGACACUUUUAAAAAGUGUUGCUAUAUGUGGAGUCACUAGGUAUAUAAUGACAGUUAAAGAGUGUCGCUAUAAUCUAAAAAGAGUGCUGCUAAUUUACCAACACUUAUUUAUGUAUUUAGCAACCGCUGAAACUCUAACUCGUUGGCUGCGGUGGCAGAGGAAGAGGACAGGGAAGGGCUCUUCGUCUAGAAUUUAAGUAGAUUGAGUGAGGGGAGCAGUGGAGAUGAUAAUCGAUUUUUCUUUUUUUUUUUUUCUUUUCUGUUUGUAAUCGGGCCGAAUGCGCUGGGUGGGGUGGGUUAAGCUAGAGUAGCCUUUUAUUUUUGAUUGGAUUGAACUUUAUAUUUAGGCAUUAGUAGAUUUUUUUUAAAGUUUUGAUAUAAAUGGGACACUUACAUAAAAAUGUUCCAAACAUGUGUCCCUAUAAUUCAAUUCUGUUGUAGUGGUAAAGGAUUAAAUUCAUAAGCAUU